Molecule: RNA transcript, 4047 nt
Organism: Cebus imitator (Panamanian white-faced capuchin)
Lineage: Eukaryota; Metazoa; Chordata; Mammalia; Primates; Cebidae
Gene: ARGLU1
Gene name: arginine and glutamate rich 1
Exons: 3
Source: RefSeq, a predicted model, not a curated record
GCAGGGUAUUGUGGGAAGGGCGGCCGGUGCAGCCGUAGCUGCCAUCUUAGGGUCGCCUUGCGCUGCGGGUUUCUCGUUGGAGGCGGCCUUCGUAGCGACUGUAGACGUCGGGAAAGGGCACAAAGUCCGCUGUCCAACAGCUUUCCUUCCUCUGGCCUCGGUGGGACCUCCAGCCCGCGUCCGAAGGCGGAGGCGAGGGGAACCGGCCGCGUGAGGGGCCUGAGGCCAGCGGUGGUUAGUCAGAGCGUCGCCCGGAAGGAUGGGCCGGUCUCGGAGCCGGAGCUCGUCCCGCUCCAAGCACACCAAAAGCAGCAAGCACAACAAGAAGCGCAGCCGGUCCCGGUCGCGAUCCCGGGACAAGGAGCGCGUACGGAAGCGCUCCAAAUCUCGGGAAAGUAAACGGAACCGGCGGCGGGAGUCGCGGUCCCGCUCGCGCUCCACCAACACGGCCGUGUCCCGGCGCGAGCGGGACCGGGAGCGCGCCUCGUCCCCGCCCGACCGCAUCGACAUCUUCGGGCGCACGGUGAGCAAGCGCAGCAGCCUGGAUGAGAAGCAGAAGCGAGAGGAGGAGGAGAAGAAAGCGGAGUUCGAGCGGCAGCGAAAAAUACGACAGCAGGAAAUAGAAGAAAAACUCAUCGAGGAAGAAACAGCACGAAGAGUGGAAGAAUUGGUGGCAAAAAGGGUGGAGGAAGAACUGGAGAAAAGGAAGGAUGAAAUUGAACGAGAAGUUCUCCGAAGGGUGGAGGAAGCCAAGCGCAUCAUGGAAAAGCAGUUGCUCGAAGAACUCGAGCGACAGAGACAAGCUGAGCUUGCAGCACAAAAAGCUAGAGAGGUAACGCUCGGUCGUUUGGAAAGUAGAGACAGUCCAUGGCAAAACUUUCAGUGUUGGGUUCUGCCUCCUGCUCAGUUCAGAAAGAGAUGGAAUACAGACUAUCUAAUUCCUUUCUCGUCUAAACUUAACAUUGCUGCGAAAGUUAAUUUUUUAGCCUAUUCAGAAGUGCUGACUGAUAACUUAAAAGUUGGAAGCUUUUAUAAAACAUAUUCAAGGAUACUUUUUGAUUUAAUGGAACUGGCUGUCUAUUUGAGAAGUGUUUGAAACUUUUGCCAUGGCUGCAGGACUUACAUUCUUUCUUGGGAGGACGGUGGGGAGACAGGGAGUGGUAAAGGGAAAAGGUUAAAAAUCCACCUGUGGAUGUAUAUUCUUCUAUUCUGUCACUCUGUUACCUAGACUGUGAGAGGCUUUUGCCUUCAGUCAGAUUAAAAAGAGCAGGGCCUAACAUUGAGUGAUAGCACCUGCUUUGAUAAAUAGGUUUUCUCACUCUUCUUUUUUUCCUUCUUUUAUCCCUCACUCCCUCCCCUAAAUCCUGCUUCAGCACAAUGGACUAAUUCUAGCAUUCUGAUCAUAAGGCCCUCCAUUUUCCUAAUGUGUUUCAAGGAAUCUUUUGAGGAAAAAUAUCCAGAUUAUUCAUCCACUUUUUUUAGUAUCUACUAACAACUCCUUUUUUUCUCUAGAGAGUUAUGAAGGAACAGGUUGUCCUUGUCUGGAGUCAAGCUAAACACAUGAUUUGUUUUAUCAGCAGCUGGAGCAGAAGUUGAAAAUGUCUUUCUGUGAGACAGUAAUUUGCUACUGAAGCUUUAUAGCUUGUUUGCACUGAUUACUCCAGGAUCCAAAAACUUGGUGAAAGUCACUGAAACACUCAAGGCAAAUUACUUUACACCCCUGAGUGUCUAUCACCAUGGUUUGCAUAAUGAAUAUGAAUUCCAUUGGUGUGUGACAUAGGAAAUCCUGUAGUUGUAUUUUCUUGAACUGAAAUAUUUGACUCAAAAUAAUGAUGACUCAUGGUCAUUUUUCAUCUUUGCAUUAUGGACAAUUGACAUACUAAAUCUCUUUGCUUUCUGAUAAGCUUAGCUUUUAAAACGCAUUUUCCUUUGUCCUGUCUUUAACUAGAUAUACAUGCUUAUAUUUAUAGCGGGUUUCACGGACUAUAAAAAUGAAUGUAUGAAAUUUUUAUUUAUAACAGUGCUUUUAACGAAGAUUUUUUGGAGUAAUGGUGCUGUCUUGUAGCGAGUUAUUAAUCAUAGUAAGAUUUUUUUCUCUUCAUUUGCUUUUUUGUUUCAUAUUAACAAUUUUUUUUUUACACGGACACAACCCUCUGACAGUCUUUCCAAAUAUUAAAAUCAUUUGAAUAUGUAUGCUGUGAUCUGAACACUGCCCAAACCAUCAAGCAGUCUUCAUACAGUUUGCAUUAUAAAAUCUCAUUAAAUUCUCCAAGAAAAAAUAAGUUGAAGAAUUUUAUUUCCUGACCAUGCAUCCCCUGGAUUUCUGAGUUUCAGUUCAGAUUGUAGAUGACAAUAUAAGCUGCCUUCCGAAAUUGUCAACAUCUGAAUGUUAAGUCCAUUUUCCCCAUGGAAGAAGCCCGUAGUUCCAUGAAGUAUGGAUUACCAUUUGUAUUUUUCACUAACAGUAAAUGUAUUUUUCUUAUUAAUUGUUUGCCUUAGGAAUGAUGAAUUACAUUUUUUGUUCCUUCUUACCAUAAACAUCUGCAUUCCUCAGCUCAGCCUUCCUUGUAUGUUGUUUCUUUAUAAAUGGUUGAGCUGCUGAUGCAGGUAUUGCCAAGCUAACAGUACAAAUCAUUUUAAAGAGGAAGCUGGCGCGUAUGGCAGCCGAGGAGCACACUCUGCAGGACACUGGACAAGACAGUAAAUAUUCAACUUUUAAUGCUGAUUAAAGGAGUAUAGGUAAAGAAUACGUAGGUAUACAUAAUUGGUGAGACAAAUAUUCACUUUAUUUAUAUUUUAUAUAUUAUUUUUUUAAUUUGGUAAAUACUAUCCAGUUUUGUAGUUGUCCUUGUUGAUUUGUGUGAUAUUAAAGUAUUAGUAAUAAUUGCCAGGAAACUAUCAUUAGGGAGGGUUUAGUUGGUUGCUGUUUGGACUGGGAGGGAUGAUUUAAAUUUAGUGCUAGAAACCAAUUUUAGUGGCUGCACAGUUUAUCAUUUAUCAGACAGAAGGUAGCUAUAAAGCUACCCCGUAAGUCAUAUCAAAAAAGUUCAGAGGAAGAUUAGUAAAUAUUUAUCAGUAAAAAUAAACAUUUUGUUUUUCUAACAUCUUAACAUAUCCUCCCCUUUAGGAGGAAGAACGUGCAAAACGUGAGGAACUAGAGCGAAUACUGGAAGAGAAUAACCGAAAAAUUGCAGAAGCACAAGCCAAACUGGCUGAAGAACAGUUGAGAAUUGUUGAAGAACAAAGAAAGAUUCAUGAGGAAAGGAUGAAACUAGAACAAGAACGACAACGUCAACAAAAAGAAGAACAAAAAAUUAUCCUGGGCAAGGGGAAGUCCAGGCCAAAACUGUCCUUCUCAUUAAAAACCCAGGAUUAAAUUGCAAACUCUGAACUUUUUACAAAGAAAAAUGGAAAAACUUUGUAUGGUAGCUUCAUGUUGAAGUGGUUUUUUUGGUUUUGUUUUUGUUUUUUUUUAAUUUGUAAAAUCCGGAAAGUUAGCUUGUUCUAAUAGGGGCUAUGCUCUGCAAUUCCCUUUUAUUAUUAUUUUUUCUUCCACUAAGUCAAAUCCUUAUCAGAUCAUUGUUGUCUUCUAAAGAGUGAUAUAUUUUUCACCUGUUUGGAUUCUAUAUUGGUGGUCUGAGGAAGAGCAGAUCACUUUGUAAAACUAUGGAUGGUCUGAUAAGGCUUUUACUGACCCCACUGACUUCAGAGUUAUACUCUGUUUGCUACAUCAUAAUGCUGGUUUUUCUGACUUUUUGUUUUUUUAUAUAUUUAUAAAAAAAGAAAAAGUUGGUAAUUGCAUUGGGAAAUUCCCAGGGUAUUACUGGACCUAUGUGGUGUAUUGUUAAACCAGUGUCCUUGUGAUACUGUUGCUCUUGAUGUUCCUGAUACAGGUAAGGAAACAGUUGGUCAACUCUGAUACAAAAUAUAUAUACAGUUCAGUAUUGUCUCUGUUCAGUUUGUUUUUAUUUCAUUGACAAAAUCAAACCAGCAUUCCCCAUUGUGUAAAUAAAUGAUUUUGCUGAAUAAAGUAAAGUCUUAAAUUCA